AACCUGCAGAGGAUUCAGGAAGCCUGUGCAUAAGUAUCUCCCACAGAGAUUCUUCUGUGUUUGAGUGUCGUCACUGUUUAAGCACAAAGUGAUGGGGGAUUUCAUAUCUUAUAGGACAAUUCAUUCAAUUUAAAGUCAGCAUGGAUUUUUGUAUUGGAGGUGACCUUAAAGACCCCAUAAUGCGAUGUGCACAGAGAACCUAUUAUCCAAAGGAUUGCCAACAGGCAAACACCCACCUCAGUGCUACAGCUGCAAGGAACUGAAUUCAGUCAACACCUGAGUGAACCUGGAAGCACAAUCAUCCUCACCGCCUCCCCAAAGUAACAUAGCCCCUCUGACACCUUGAUUUCUGCUUUGUGAAACCUGGAGCAGAAAACCCAGCUGAGCCUGCGCAGAUUUCUGACCUACGAACUACGAGAUAAUAAAUUUGUGUUGUUGAACUUUGUGGUGAUUUGUUCUGAUAGCAAUAGAAAACUAAUAAAAGAUGAACAAAAUAUAACUGCUUUGUUACCAUGUAAAUAAAAAGAAUCCAUAUACUGAAAGAAAAGAAA
Molecule: long non-coding RNA, 551 nt
Filed under: Equus caballus (horse)
Lineage: Eukaryota; Metazoa; Chordata; Mammalia; Perissodactyla; Equidae
Description: lncRNA (ENSECAG00000036734.3)
Source: RNAcentral